This 253-nucleotide ribosomal RNA is filed under the name uncultured bacterium. RNAcentral's name for it is "partial 16S ribosomal RNA". It matches the Rfam family "Bacterial small subunit ribosomal RNA", at positions 524 to 776 of the family's 1533-position model. The record is from RNAcentral.
UACGUAGGGGGCGAGCGUUAUCCGGAAUUACUGGGUGUAAAGGGAGCGUAGACGGCGAAGUAAGCCUGAAGUGGAAGCCCGCGGCCCAACCGCGGAACUGCUUUGGGAACUGCUUAGCUGGAGUAUGGGAGGGGUAAGCGGAGUUCCCGGUGUAGCGGUGAAAUGCGUAGAUAUCAGGAGGAACACCGGUGGCGAAGGCGGCUUACUGGACCAUGACUGACGUUGAGGCUCGAAAGCGUGGGGAGCGAACAGG